This is a small nuclear RNA of Nycticebus coucang (slow loris), 107 nucleotides long. Lineage: Eukaryota; Metazoa; Chordata; Mammalia; Primates; Lorisidae. The record is from RefSeq and is a predicted model, not a curated record.
GUACUCACUCCAGCAGCAUAUCUACUGAAAUUAGAAUUAUAAAGAGAAGAUUAGCAUAUCCUCUGCAGAAGAUGAUAUGCAAAAUGUAACAGGGAAAAAAGCACCAU